RNAcentral lists this ribosomal RNA (432 nucleotides) under uncultured bacterium. RNAcentral describes it as "partial 16S ribosomal RNA". It matches the Rfam family "Bacterial small subunit ribosomal RNA", at positions 29 to 507 of the family's 1533-position model. The record is from RNAcentral.
ACGAACGCUGGCGGCAUGCCUAACACAUGCAAGUCGAACGAGACCUUCGGGUCUAGUGGCGCACGGGUGCGUAACGCGUGGGAACCUGCCCUUAGGUUCGGAAUAACUCCCCGAAAGGGGUGCUAAUACCGGAUAAUGUCUUCGGACCAAAGAUUUAUCGCCUUUGGAUGGGCCCGCGUUGGAUUAGCUAGUUGGUAGGGUAAAAGCCUACCAAGGCGACGAUCCAUAGCUGGUCUGAGAGGAUGAUCAGCCACACUGGGACUGAGACACGGCCCAGACUCCUACGGGAGGCAGCAGUGGAGAAUAUUGGACAAUGGGCGAAAGCCUGAUCCAGCAAUGCCGCGUGAGUGAUGAAGGCCUUAGGGUUGUAAAGCUCUUUUACCCGGGAUGAUAAUGACAGUACCGGGAGAAUAAGCUCCGGCUAACUCCGUG